GAUGAACGCUGACAGAAUGCUUAACACAUGCAAGUCUACUUGAUUCUACUUCGGUAGUUGAUGGUGGCGGACGGGUGAGUAACGCGUAAAGAAUCUGCCCUUUAGUUUGGGAUAACCUUUGGAAACGAAGGCUAAUACCGGAUAUUAUGGAGACGUCGCAUGACGACUCCAUGAAAGCUAUAUGCGCUAGAGGAGGACUUUGCGUCCCAUUAGUUAGUUGGUGAGGUAAUGGCUCACCAAGACCGCGAUGGGUAGCCGGCCUGAGAGGGUGAUCGGCCACAAGGGAACUGAGACGCGGUCCUUCCUCCUACGGGAGGCAGCAGUGGGGAAUAUUGGACAAUGGGCCACAAGCCUGAUCCAGCAAUUCUGUGUGCACGAUGAAGGUCUUCGGAUUGUAAAGUGCUUUCAGUAGGGAAGAAAAAAAUGACGGUACCUACAGAAGAAGCGACGGCUAAAUAUGUGCCAGCAGCCGCCGUAA
Molecule: ribosomal RNA, 478 nt
Filed under: uncultured bacterium
Lineage: Bacteria
Description: partial 16S ribosomal RNA
Rfam family: Bacterial small subunit ribosomal RNA
Source: RNAcentral